Molecule: ribosomal RNA, 494 nt
Filed under: Salmonella enterica subsp. enterica serovar Typhimurium
Lineage: Bacteria; Pseudomonadati; Pseudomonadota; Gammaproteobacteria; Enterobacterales; Enterobacteriaceae
Description: partial 23S ribosomal RNA
Rfam family: Bacterial large subunit ribosomal RNA
Source: RNAcentral
CUCGCUGUGAAGAUGCAGUGUACCCGCGGCAAGACGGAAAGACCCCGUGAACCUUUACUAUAGCUUGACACUGAACAUUGAGCCUUGAUGUGUAGGAUAGGUGGGAGGCUUUGAAGUGUGGACGCCAGUCUGCAUGGAGCCGACCUUGAAAUACCACCCUUUAAUGUUUGAUGUUCUAACGUGGACCCGUAAUCCGGGUUGCGGACAGUGUCUGGUGGGUAGUUUGACUGGGGCGGUCUCCUCCUAAAGAGUAACGGAGGAGCACGAAGGUUGGCUAAUCCUGGUCGGACAUCAGGAGGUUAGUGCAAUGGCAUAAGCCAGCUUGACUGCGAGCGUGACGGCGCGAGCAGGUGCGAAAGCAGGUCAUAGUGAUCCGGUGGUUCUGAAUGGAAGGGCCAUCGCUCAACGGAUAAAAGGUACUCCGGGGAUAACAGGCUGAUACCGCCCAAGAGUUCAUAUCGACGGCGGUGUUUGGCACCUCGAUGUCGGCUCAU